AAGACUAAGACUAAUUUAUGCAUGAUAUUGUUUUUUGUCUGGUUUGAAUUACGGUAACUGGAAAUUUUUUAUUUCAGUUUAGGCUUGACAAGAAGUCUGAAAGUAAAGACUAGAAAUGUAUUGCUUUGAAGAAAACCUAAGUAUGAUUCUGAUUUCAGAAUCAAUUUGUAAGCAAGGUUGGGCAAUUCAACCAUUAAUUAUUUGUCAUGGUUUAGAGUUGUAAAUUCUUCUGCGCACUGAAGGAGUAGAAUUUCUGGAUAGUUUGCAUUCAGUAAGUUUGUCAUACCCGUUCAAGUCAACGGCAAAUUAUUUAUGCAGGUUGAUGCUCAUUUUGAGUAUUUCAAUUUGAUUUGAAAGGAGUACCGGUAUAGUGUCCAGAAAUCAGAAGAAUUCCAGUUUUUUUUUUUUUGGCCUAUGAAAUUGACAAUUGGUCAAUAAGUUGUUUUUGUCAUUUUCAAUUUUCACUUGUGUGUAUAAGGAAGUCAUAGUUUUUUCAUGACAACAGGGCAAUCAGUGAAUUUACACCAGUUCGGAUUUCUAAGAAUUUUUAAACGUGCUUGUGCUCAUUUAAAACGGUUUGAUAGGAAUGUAAUACUUACAUGUACAUGUUAUUUCUUGAUAAUUGGUAACAUAGAUUACAUUCCAUCUGAUAUUUCAGACCAGUGGUCAGAACCUUGUUAUUUUUACUAAAAUGUGAAAAAUUACUUGUUGAAUGAUAUUCCACGUAUUAAUUUGCAUACUUAAGCUUGAUGUAAUAUCAUGCAUGUAUAUAAUGUGAAGUACGUACUGUACAACUUUUUGAUCUCUGUGGAGUUAUCGGUUAAUAACUGGCAAAGAAAUACCUAUAGAGGGUAAAUUAGUUUCAGUUUUUCAACUGAUUUAAAGGAGCCAUGUAGAUGACGUUGACUUGCUCAGAAAUUUGUCGCCCUCUAGUGGCAGCUGAUUUUUGGUUCGAUGGAGCAAGCUGAGUUUGUUUGUUACCGAAUGUUUUGAUUUGUCAAAAGUCGUAUUCUGAGGGAUAUUCAGUUCACAAAAGGGCACAGAGUUUUCACGGAGUUACAUGGAUGGAUACGGAGACGUAAAAUAAAGAUUGACAACUCCCGUAAAA
Molecule: long non-coding RNA, 1108 nt
Organism: Strongylocentrotus purpuratus (purple sea urchin)
Lineage: Eukaryota; Metazoa; Echinodermata; Echinoidea; Camarodonta; Strongylocentrotidae
Exons: 2
Source: RefSeq, a predicted model, not a curated record